CCUACGGGCGGCAGCAGUGAGGAAUAUUGGUCAAUGGGCGGGAGCCUGAACCAGCCAAGCCGCGUGAGGGAAGAAGGUACAGCGUAUCGUAAACCUCUUUUGUCAGGGAACAAAGGCGGGGACUAGUCCCCGGAUGAGGGUACCUGAAGAAAAAGCAUCGGCGAACUCCGUGCCAGCAGACGCGGUAAUACGGAGGAUGCGAGCGUUAUCCGGAUUUAUUGGGUUUAAAGGGUGCGAAGGCGGCCUGUUAAGUCAGCGGUAAAAGCCCGGGGCUCAACCCCGGCGCGCCGUUGAAACUGGCGGGCUGGAGUUGGAGAGAAGUACGCGGAAUGCGCGGUGUAGCGGUGAAAUGCUGAGAUAUCGCGCAGAACCCCGAUGGCGAAGGCAGCGUACCGGCUCCACACUGACGCUGAGGCACGAAAGCGUGGGUAGCGAACAGGAUUAGAUACCCGUGUAGUC
Molecule: ribosomal RNA, 459 nt
Filed under: uncultured bacterium
Lineage: Bacteria
Description: partial 16S ribosomal RNA
Rfam family: Bacterial small subunit ribosomal RNA
Source: RNAcentral